RNAcentral lists this ribosomal RNA (833 nucleotides) under Serratia marcescens. RNAcentral's name for it is "bacterial SSU rRNA". It matches the Rfam family "Bacterial small subunit ribosomal RNA", at positions 61 to 883 of the family's 1533-position model. The record is from RNAcentral. Lineage: Bacteria; Pseudomonadati; Pseudomonadota; Gammaproteobacteria; Enterobacterales; Yersiniaceae.
GUCGAGCGGUAGCACAAGGGAGCAUAGCAAUCCUGGGUGACGAGCGGCGGACGGGUGAGUAAUGUCUGGGAAACUGCCUGAUGGAGGGGGAUAACUACUGGAAACGGUAGCUAAUACCGCAUAACGUCGCAGACCAAAGAGGGGGACCUUCGGGCCUCUUGCCAUCAGAUGUGCCCAGAUGGGAUUAGCUAGUAGGUGGGGUAAUGGCUCACCUAGGCGACGAUCCCUAGCUGGUCUGAGAGGAUGACCAGCCACACUGGAACUGAGACACGGUCCAGACUCCUACGGGAGGCAGCAGUGGGGAAUAUUGCACAAUGGGCGCAAGCCUGAUGCAGCCAUGCCGCGUGUGUGAAGAAGGCCUUCGGGUUGUAAAGCACUUUCAGCGAGGAGGAAGGUGGUGAACUUAAUACGUUCAUCAAUUGACGUUACUCGCAGAAGAAGCACCGGCUAACUCCGUGCCAGCAGCCGCGGUAAUACGGAGGGUGCAAGCGUUAAUCGGAAUUACUGGGCGUAAAGCGCACGCAGGCGGUUUGUUAAGUCAGAUGUGAAAUCCCCGGGCUCAACCUGGGAACUGCAUUUGAAACUGGCAAGCUAGAGUCUCGUAGAGGGGGGUAGAAUUCCAGGUGUAGCGGUGAAAUGCGUAGAGAUCUGGAGGAAUACCGGUGGCGAAAGCGGCCCCCUGGACGAAGACUGACGCUCAGUGCGAAAGCGUGGGGGAGCAAACAGGAUUAGAUACCCUGGUAGUCCACGCUGUAAACGAUGUCGAUUUGGAGGUUGUGCCCUUGAGGCGUGGCUUCCGGAGCUAACGCGUUAAUCGACCGCCUGGGGAGUAC